GACGAACGCUGGCGGCGUGCUUAACACAAGCAAGUCGAGCGGAAAGGCCCUUCGGGGUACUCGAGCGGCGAACGGGUGAGUAACACGUGAGUAAUCUGCCCUGCACUCUGGGAUAGCCUUGGGAAACUGAGAUUAAUACCGGAUAUGUUCACUUCCCGCAUGGGAUGGUGGUGGAAAGUUUUUCGGUGCAGGAUGUGCUCGCGGCCUAUCAGCUUGUUGGUGGGGUAAUGGCCUACCAAGGCUUCGACGGGUAGCCGGCCUGGGAGGGUGACCGGCCACACGGGGACUGAGACACGGACCAGACUCCUACGGGAGGCAGCAGUGGGGAAUAUUGGACAAUGGGCGGAAGCCUGAUCCAGCAACGCCGCGUGAGGGAUGACGGCCUUCGGGUUGUAAACCUCUUUCAGCACAGACGAAGCGCAAGUGACGGUAUGUGCAGAAGAAGGACCGGCCAACUACGUGCCAGCCGCCGCCGUAA
This 478-nucleotide ribosomal RNA is filed under the name uncultured bacterium. Its description in RNAcentral is "partial 16S ribosomal RNA". It matches the Rfam family "Bacterial small subunit ribosomal RNA", at positions 28 to 523 of the family's 1533-position model. The record is from RNAcentral.